AGUGAACGCUGGCGGUAAGCCUAACACAUGCAAGUCGAACGGCAGCACAGUAAGAGCUUGCUCUUACGGGUGGCGAGUGGCGGACGGGUGAGGAAUACAUCGGAAUCUACUUUUUCGUGGGGGAUAACGUAGGGAAACUUACGCUAAUACCGCAUACGACCUACGGGUGAAAGCAGGGGAUCUUCGGACCUUGCGCGAUUGAAUGAGCCGAUGUCGGAUUAGCUAGUUGGCGGGGUAAAGGCCCACCAAGGCGACGAUCCGUAGCUGGUCUGAGAGGAUGAUCAGCCACACUGGAACUGAGACACGGUCCAGACUCCUACGGGAGGCAGCAGUGGGGAAUAUUGGACAAGGGGCGCAAGCCUGAUCCAGCCAUACCGCGUGGGUGAAGAAGGCCUUCGGGUUGUAAAGCCCUUUUGUUGGGAAAGAAAAGCAGCAGGUUAAUACCCCGCUGUUCUGACGGUACCAAAGAAUAAGCACCGGCUAACUUCGUG
RNAcentral lists this ribosomal RNA (491 nucleotides) under uncultured bacterium. Its description in RNAcentral is "partial 16S ribosomal RNA". It matches the Rfam family "Bacterial small subunit ribosomal RNA", at positions 29 to 507 of the family's 1533-position model. The record is from RNAcentral.